RNAcentral lists this ribosomal RNA (781 nucleotides) under uncultured bacterium. RNAcentral describes it as "bacterial SSU rRNA". The stretch from base 1 to 638 matches the Rfam family "Bacterial small subunit ribosomal RNA", at positions 896 to 1533 of the family's 1533-position model. The record is from RNAcentral.
GAUUCUUAAAUGAAUUGACGGGGGCCCGCACAAGCGGUGGAUUAUGUGGAUUAAUUCGAUGCAACGCGAAAAACCUUACCUGGCCUUGACAUGUACGGAACUUUCCAGAGAUGGAUUGGUGCCCGAAAGGGAACCGUAACACAGGUGCUGCAUGGCUGUCGUCAGCUCGUGUCGUGAGAUGUUGGGUUAAGUCCCGCAACGAGCGCAACCCUUGCCAUUAAUUGCCAUCAUUUAGUUGGGCACUUUAAUGGGACUGCCGGUGACAAACCGGAGGAAGGUGGGGAUGACGUCAAGUCCUCAUGGCCCUUAUGGCCAGGGCUUCACACGUAAUACAAUGGUCGGUACAGAGGGUUGCCAACCCGCGAGGGGGAGCCAAUCCCAGAAAGCCGAUCGUAGUCCGGAUUGCAGUCUGCAACUCGACUGCAUGAAGUCGGAAUCGCUAGUAAUCGCGGAUCAGCAUGUCGCGGUGAAUACGUUCCCGGGCCUUGUACACACCGCCCGUCACACCAUGGGAGUGGGUUCCACCAGAAGUAGGUAGUCUAACCGCAAGGAGGACGCUUACCACGGUGGGGUUCAUGACUGGGGUGAAGUCGUAACAAGGUAGCCGUAUCGGAAGGUGCGGCUGGAUCACCUCCUUUCUAGAGAAAAAGCCUGGUCUGCAAGCAUUCACACUUAUCGGUUGUUCAAAGAGCGCAUCAAAGAGUGGCCAACCUAAAAUAGCGGAGACGUUAUUAACCUUAUAGGGUCUGUAGCUCAGCUGGUUAGAGCACCGUCUUGAUAA